UUCAAAUAUGUUUUUUUACAGUGCCAGGAGCAAUUAAGAACGUGAUGGUGCAUCUUCCAGAGCAUAACGUGAUUAACGCAACCUGUGAUCGUCUAAAUCCAACUGAUUUUAAUGGACCUGAGGAGGAUUACAUCGCACGUCUUUAUGGUGAUGGUGUCCUGAUUAAGAUUCUGAACAAAACCAAAUGCGAGUUUGAAUUCAAAGAUUUAAGCUACUCAACCAAAUACGAACUGAAGGUGACUGCUUCCAAUGGACAAUACGAGGGCAAAGCCAACCAACAAUCUGUCUCCCUUCCUACAAUGACAAAGCUCUCAUAGUUAGUCUGGUCUUCUUCAUCGUGGCAUCUGUGGCCUUCGCCGUGGUGCUCUAUAUCUACACUCAGAGGCUCAGAAAGUCCAGGAACGAUGCGGAUGUGGAUGAAAAUGCUGUGAUUGAACUAACAGAAAUUUAUGCUAAUGUGCCUCAAUCUGAAUGCCGCCGUAGAGACUCAACCUGAUGAAGAACGGCCUGAUGGAGCUGCCAACCAAAUCAUCAUUUACUCAUGUGACGUAGAAAUAAUUGUAAUCUGCUUACACUGGCAAUGGUGUGUUUAAGAGAAGAUGGGAUGGAUUAAUUGCUUCAUGUUUUAGUCGUUUUGGGUUGUUGUGUUUUAAUGUGUGCACUGUAACAAGUGGAACAUUUAAGUUUUGUAUUCAAAUGUUUAUCUCUUAUAAGAUUAUAACCGGUUUUAUUGUUCUGUUGAGAUUACGUCACAUUUUCCUUUUAUAUUUACACCUUUGCCAGACGACACCACCUAAAGAGAGGGAAAUGAAUAGCAACAGUUGUUAAGUCUUGCAGAUGCAGACAGGUUGAUAUGUACAGCAGCUGAAGGUAUUGGUGGUGUUUUAAGUCUUUUGUAACAGCUGCAGUUUUUCACAUGUGUGUAUGUGAUGUAUUACCUUUCAUAUUUGUAUGACCAAUAAUUACUCAUAAUGCAAACAAAUAAAAAUAGUAGUGCGCUUGUAACCAUAAAACA
This is a long non-coding RNA of Trematomus bernacchii (emerald rockcod), 1015 nucleotides long. RefSeq lists it as uncharacterized. The record is from RefSeq and is a predicted model, not a curated record. The transcript has 5 exons. Lineage: Eukaryota; Metazoa; Chordata; Actinopteri; Perciformes; Nototheniidae.